GGAGAAACCGGGGUGGGGGAGGGGUCAGCAUCAGCCCAGGCAGGACUGUCCUGGGGAGCCCCUCCUGUUCUCAGGCAAGACUGGGAAAUCCCAGCCCUAGGGCCCUGGAGAGGCCCUCACCCGCUCUGCUUUCACCCAACCCGACUGACACGGAGUAGGAGGUGGGAAUCAUGCAGGCAGGGAGCUUAGGAAGCCUGGUUUAAGAUUGCUUUGAAUGGCAGGCCCCCUGCUGUGCUCCUGGGGAGAGAGCCUGAAACCUGGAUGCUCGGGAGCCCCUCAGAUCCGUCAUCUGUCCCCGACACCCCUGUGGUGAGCCUUGCCACUGGGCCCUGAGAAGCUCAGAGCAGUCGAGUCAGGGCAGUGGGACAUGACCCAGGUCAGAUGUGGCUUUUCCGUAAUUGUACACCAAUGAUCAAGAGAAAAUGAAGGAUUUUAAUAUCACACACCUACACUUGAUGGCAGGGAAAUAAUUAUUUCCUGCAGAAUGGGCUGCAAAUGUAACAAACCCCCUGACCUUCAGUCUGAAGAGAGAGAACUAUCAACCACACAGAAGCAAAGAUCCAGAGAAAUACUGAGGGAUGCUACCAGACACUCAACCAGGGCCACUCUCCGAGAUUCCAGCCAGCCACACAGCAAAGAUGCUGGCCGGGGACACUGCCCCAAACCACCAGACAGAACCCCAAAGAAACAGCUCCACACACAGUGGAAGAUACACCAGAGACUGUUAGAAGGACCAUCAGACAAAGCCAAAGAGACAGGUAGAUGAAACCAGAUAACCAGCCAGAGAGGUGGUCAGAGAACAGCGACACAAUCAAAGGACCCACCAGAAACACUGUAAAGGACUCAGCUAGACCCAGGCAGAUACACUGCCGAAGGACGAGCAAGGAGCACAGGCAGUGAAGCCGUCGGCGACAAAGCCAGAGAGCUAAGACACUGUCAGAAACAGUGCCAGAGAAACCGUCUGACACACAAGCAGAGAAAUACCAGAGAAACUGAUAGACGCAAACAGGCGUACACCCAGAAAAACAGCUUGAGAGAAGAGCCAGAGCCACAGCCAGAUGCUCAGUCAGGAAGUAUCCACACCACUCCAAACACUGCCAGAGACACUGUCAGACACACAGUCAGACACACUGCCAGAGACACCGUUAUAAAGACUGCCAGAGAAACAGCCAGACACACAGCCAGAAAAACUGACAGAGACGCAGUGCCAGAUAUACCCCGAGAAAGUGCCAGAGACUCAGCUCCAGACAGUGCAGACAUAGCAUAACAGAGACAAAUGUGGGUAUCAGCCUGAAGCAGCUGCGGAGAGGCUGGAGAGCAAUGAACUUCCUGGGGCUUCCUGUGGGAGAGGGCUCCUGCCUGCCUUUUGCUACCCUUGACCCUCUCCAGGAAAGUCCCCUCCUCUGAGCCUGCUUUUCCUUUCCUCCCUGUCACAGCCACAGGUGCCCUGACUGCCCCUCCCUGGCACAGUAAAUCUCUCUGUGUCCUAAGUGGC
This 1495-nucleotide long non-coding RNA is filed under the name Homo sapiens (human). Its description in RNAcentral is "HSALNT0351743". The record is from RNAcentral. Lineage: Eukaryota; Metazoa; Chordata; Mammalia; Primates; Hominidae.